UGCAAGUCGAACGGUAGAGGGGGCAACCCCUCGAGAGUGGCGAACGGGUGAGUAAUAUAUCGGAACGUGCCCAGUCGUGGGGGAUAACGCAGUGAAAAUUACGCUAAUACCGCAUACGAUCUAAGGAUGAAAGCGGGGGACUCGCAAGAGCCUCGCGCGAUUGGAGCGGCCGAUAUCAGAUUAGGUAGUUGGUGAGGUAGAGGCUCACCAAGCCAACGAUCUGUAGCUGGUCUGAGAGGACGACCAGCCACACUGGAACUGAGACACGGUCCAGACUCCUACGGGAGGCAGCAGUGGGGAAUUUUGGACAAUGGACGCAAGUCUGAUCCAGCCAUUCCGCGUGCAGGACGAAGGCCUUCGGGUUGUAAACUGCUUUUGUACAGAACGAAAAGGUCUCUAUUAAUACUGGGGGCUCAUGACGGUACUGUAAGAAUAAGCACCGGCUAACUACGUGCCAGCAGCCGCGGUAAUACGUAGGGUGCGAGCGUUAAUCGGAAUUACUGGGCGUAAAGCGUGCGCAGGCGGUUAUAUAAGACAGAUGUGAAAUCCCCGGGCUCAACCUGGGAACUGCAUUUGUGACUGUAUAGUUGGAGUGCGGCAGAGGGAGAUGGAAUUCCUCGUGUAG
This 625-nucleotide ribosomal RNA is filed under the name uncultured Burkholderiales bacterium. RNAcentral describes it as "bacterial SSU rRNA". It matches the Rfam family "Bacterial small subunit ribosomal RNA", at positions 56 to 678 of the family's 1533-position model. The record is from RNAcentral. Lineage: Bacteria; Pseudomonadati; Pseudomonadota; Betaproteobacteria; Burkholderiales.